Long non-coding RNA from Aedes aegypti (yellow fever mosquito), 494 nucleotides. RefSeq lists it as uncharacterized. The transcript has 4 exons. NCBI's taxonomy places the organism in Eukaryota, Metazoa, Arthropoda, Insecta, Diptera, Culicidae. The record is from RefSeq and is a predicted model, not a curated record.
GUUUUGUUUAUCUUUGUAUACUUUAUGCUGUGCGUUCGGAAAGUUUUAUUGAAGUGAUAAAGUAGCGAAAGUGGCCUUUUCUGGAUUAAAUGUAUAGGUUGAGUGGAUUCAUUCAUUUGCGGGUUGUUGGGCUAUGGGACGGCAAUCUUCGUCGGGGAAGAUUGGUCCAUAACCAACCCAUAAUGGUCACGGGACAACCGUGAUAACAAUCUUGCAACUGCAAGAUGAAAUCAGUUUGGCCAAUAAUACAAAUUGGGUGAUCCUCUCCUAACAACUCCACAGGUGGAAAGUGAUGAGGGAAAGAAAGUGUACCCCUCACAUCCUUCUCCGAUCCUGCCAGUGUUGGUAUGGAUCCCCGAAAUCAAUUAAAAUCAACCUUCAGCGGUGUUUGCCGUCGGCGACCGGGGAUAAUUGGUGACUCCCCCACCUCACCAGAAUUCUGGCAAACUGCCGAAAAAUUGAAUAUAAAAGGAAAGAAAAAUAUACGAUUGAAC